This 215-nucleotide long non-coding RNA is filed under the name Apteryx rowi (Okarito brown kiwi). RNAcentral describes it as "lncRNA (ENSARWG00000016807.1)". The record is from RNAcentral. Lineage: Eukaryota; Metazoa; Chordata; Aves; Apterygiformes; Apterygidae.
ACAGCGCCAAGUGAUAUUGCCAUUUGUGUCAUCUUCUGUAGUGCCUGGCUCGAAUGAUCCCAAAAGAGCAAGCUGAAGUAAAUAUACGGCUAUGAUCAAAAGAGGGUAAAGCCUCUAUUUUUUGUGCCAGCCUGCAGAUGCUUAGGUUUUGAAAUGCAAGUCUUCGAAAAACAAGUUAUGGUGCAUAUUGACUCCACGGACUACCCAGACAAGUA